UACGUAGGUGGCAAGCGUUGUCCGGAAUUAUUGGGCGUAAAGCGCGCGCAGGCGGCUUCUUAAGUCUGAUGUGAAAUCUCGGGGCUCAACCCCGAGCGGCCAUUGGAAACUGGGAGCUUGAGUACAGAAGAGGAGAGUGGAAUUCCACGUGUAGCGGUGAAAUGCGUAGAUAUGUGGAGGAACACCAGUGGCGAAGGCGACUCUCUGGUCUGUAACUGACGCUGAGGCGCGAAAAGCGUGGGGAGCAAACAGG
RNAcentral lists this ribosomal RNA (253 nucleotides) under uncultured bacterium. RNAcentral's name for it is "partial 16S ribosomal RNA". It matches the Rfam family "Bacterial small subunit ribosomal RNA", at positions 524 to 776 of the family's 1533-position model. The record is from RNAcentral.